AAUGAACGUUGGCGGCGUGGAUUAGGCAUGCAAGUCGCGCGACAAGGAACCUUCGGGUUCUGGAGGAGCGGCAAACGGGGUAGUAAGGCAUCGGAACGUACCCUCUUGUUGGGAAUAGCCGCGGGAAACUGCGAGUAAUGCCCAAUAAUCCCUACGGGGCAAAGGUCCGCCGCAGGAGGAGCGGCCGAUGUGAUACCAGCUAGUUGGUGAGGUAAUGGCUCACCAAGGCUUAGACGUCUAGGGGGUGUGAGAGCAUGGCCCCCACCACUGGGACGUNAGAUACUGCCCACGANACCUACGGUGGGCUGCAGUCGAGAAU
This 319-nucleotide ribosomal RNA is filed under the name uncultured bacterium. RNAcentral describes it as "bacterial SSU rRNA". It matches the Rfam family "Bacterial small subunit ribosomal RNA", at positions 29 to 362 of the family's 1533-position model. The record is from RNAcentral.